Molecule: ribosomal RNA, 253 nt
Filed under: uncultured bacterium
Lineage: Bacteria
Description: partial 16S ribosomal RNA
Rfam family: Bacterial small subunit ribosomal RNA
Source: RNAcentral
GACGAAGGUGGCAAGCGUUGCUCGGAAUCACUGGGCAUAAAGCGCGCGUAGGUGGCCUGACAAGUCAGUGGUGAAAUCCCAUCGCUCACCGAUGGAACUGCCGCCGAUACUGCCGGGCUUGAGGACAGUAGGGGAGAGUGGAACUCCUGGUGUAGCGGUGGAAUGCGCAGAUAUCAGGAGGAACACCGGUGGCGAAGGCGGGUCUCUGGGCCGAUACUGACGCUGAGGAGCGAAAGCGUGGGGAGCGAACAGG